RNAcentral lists this ribosomal RNA (1190 nucleotides) under uncultured bacterium. RNAcentral's name for it is "bacterial SSU rRNA". It matches the Rfam family "Bacterial small subunit ribosomal RNA", at positions 294 to 1533 of the family's 1533-position model. The record is from RNAcentral.
UCGAAGCUAUCCCCACACCUGUACUGAGGACACGAACAGAUCUACGGAGGCAGCAGUGAGAUAUUGUUCAUGGCGAGCUGACAGCAUGCCGCGUGUGGGAGAGCCCUAUGGGUGUAAACCACUUUAGCCGGAGUAUAAGGGGCGUGCGCGCCCCGAUGAGAGUACGGCGGAAUAAGCAUCGGCUAACUCCGUGCCAGCAGCCGCGGUAAUACGGAGGAUGCAAGCGUAUCCGGGAUUUAUUGGGUUUAAAGGGUGCGUAGGCGGACCGUUAAGUCAGCGGUGAAAGGUCCCGGCUCAACCGGGGAGCUGCCGUUGAUACUGGCGGACUUGAGUCCAAACGGCGCCGGCGGAAUAUGUAAUGUAGCGGUGAAAUGCAUAGAUAUUACAUAGAACACCGAUCGCGAAGGCAGCUGGCGAGGAUGGCACUGACGCUGAGGCACGAAGGCGUGGGGAUCGAACAGGAUUAGAUACCCUGGUAGUCCACGCAGUAAACGAUGGCGACUUGUUGUCGGCGACAGACAGCCGGUGACAAAGCGAAAGCGAUAAGUCGCCCACCUGGGGAGUACGAUCGCAAGGUUGAAACUCAAAGGAAUUGACGGGGGCCCGCACAAGCGGAGGAGCAUGUGGUUUAAUUCGAUGAUACGCGAGGAACCUUACCUGGACUCAAAUGUUGGGUGGCCGGGGCAGAGAUGCCCUUUCCCUUCGGGGCGCCCAGCAAGGUGCUGCAUGGUUGUCGUCAGCUCGUGCCGUGAGGUGUCAGGUUAAGUCCUAUAACGAGCGCAACCCCUACGUCCAGUUGCCAGCGGGUCAUGCCGGGGACUCUGGACGGACUGCCGGCGCAAGCCGAGAGGAAGGCGGGGAUGACGUCAAAUCAGCACGGCCCUUACGUCCAGGGCGACACACGUGCUACAAUGGCCGGUACAGAGGGCAGCCACGCCGCGAGGCGGAGCGAAUCUCGAAAGCCGGUCUCAGUUCGGAUCGGAGUCUGCAACCCGACUCCGUGAAGUUGGAUUCGCUAGUAAUCGCGCAUCAGCCAUGGCGCGGUGAAUACGUUCCCGGGCCUUGUACACACCGCCCGUCAAGCCAUGAAAGUCCGUGGUACCUGAAGUCCGUGACCGAGAGGAGCGGCCUAGGGUAAAACGGGUAAUUGGGGCUAAGUCGUAACAAGGUAAAUCACUGCGUCGUACCUG